UAUGAAGUGUCGCCAACCAGGAAAGCUCACUCAAGCCUCACAUUCAUGGUUUUUAUCGAGUGUUGCAUAGGCCAGAGUGUCUGUGUCUGACUGCCCUUUGUUACCCAGUCUCUCUGCCCUCCUCAUAGAACAUGGCGCAGUGCAGCUACCAGAGAUCACACUGUUAGCAGAGACUCUCCAGCCUGCGCCAGCGCUCUCAGGUCCCUAAAGGAAGCGCAAUUUCUCCCAUCAUUUCCAAAACCCUGGCCUCACAGCUCCAGAACCUUGAUAUUGGAGAGGAUUUCUGUAGACCAAGAAAACAAGAUGCAGUCACAAAACACAUUAUGGUGAUGUUAUACUUUUAGAAGUGACGUGAAAGAAGCCAGCUGCCGAGUUCUGAGGACCCUCAAGCAACCUUCUGGAGAUGUCCAUGCAACAAGAAUGAGACUUUCUGCUAAGAGCCUACAAUGAACUAAGGCCUCAUGCGAGCACCUGUGAGCAAGCCAUGUUGGAAGUGGGUGCUCCAAAUGUAGUCUAGAAUCACAUUUCUCCAAUCCUGACCAAAUCUGUGGUUUUUUUUUUUUUUCCUGAGAAAAAUCUUAACUACAUAUUCAUUACAGAUCCAAGUCAGGAUACCUAGAUAUCU
Long non-coding RNA from Fukomys damarensis (Damara mole-rat), 625 nucleotides. RefSeq lists it as uncharacterized. The record is from RefSeq and is a predicted model, not a curated record. NCBI's taxonomy places the organism in Eukaryota, Metazoa, Chordata, Mammalia, Rodentia, Bathyergidae. The transcript is spliced from 3 exons.